UGCCAGCAGCCGCGGUAAUACGGAGGGUGCAAGCGUUAAUCGGAAUUACUGGGCGUAAAGCGCGCGUAGGUGGUUUGUUAAGUGGGAUGUGAAAGCCCCGGGCUCAACCUGGGAAUUGCACCCCAAACUGGCAAACUAGAGUACAAGAGAGGCGAGUGGAAUUUCCUGUGUAGCGGUGAAAUGCGUAGAUAUAGGAAGGAACAUCAGUGGCGAAGGCGACUCACUGGAUUGAUAUUGACGCUAAGGUGCGAAAGCGUGGGGAGCAAACAGGAUUAGAUA
RNAcentral lists this ribosomal RNA (279 nucleotides) under uncultured bacterium. RNAcentral's name for it is "partial 16S ribosomal RNA". It matches the Rfam family "Bacterial small subunit ribosomal RNA", at positions 506 to 784 of the family's 1533-position model. The record is from RNAcentral.